Molecule: long non-coding RNA, 5122 nt
Filed under: Sus scrofa (pig)
Lineage: Eukaryota; Metazoa; Chordata; Mammalia; Artiodactyla; Suidae
Description: lncRNA (ENSSSCG00035025171.1)
Source: RNAcentral
GGCCUCGCUCAGUGGAUUAAGGAUCCAGCAUUGCUGUGAGCUGUGGUGUAGGUCACAGACAUGGCUCGGAUCUGGUGUGGCUGUGGCGUAGGCCAGCAACUGUAGCUCCAGUUCAGACCCCUAGCCUGGGAACUUACAUAUGCUGAAAAUGCGGCCCUAAAAACCAAAAAAAAAAAACAAGCACUCUUAACCCAGUGUGUAUUCAUUAAUCAGCUAUUUUCUCCUGCCUCAGUAUGGCUGUCAUCACAAUCACUGUUUCCAGCAAACAUUUGAGCAGCUAGUUUAUGUAAGACAAUAAAGAUAAUUGCAGUUUCAAAGAACCCUGAGGUUUAGUUCCUGACCUUAGGAGAAAUACGAUAUUUACUCAUAAAAAGACCAAGAAAAUAGCAGAUAAACACUAACUCACUUGCCCAGAAAGCAUUCAUUCUAUAGGCAUAACUUUGGGCAGAAGAGUUAAGUGCUAGAUUUGUUUUUUCAUCUGUAAAAUGUUAAGGUUAGGCAAGUUUAUUAAAAUUGUGUGAAUCUAAAUUCAGAGCAAGGACUGCUCACACAAUAGAUAUUAAACAAAAACAAAAACCCAGCACCUGACAUAAUUCAACAUCCAUGAUUUUAAAAACGCAGCACCAUGAACAUAAUAGGUUCACCUGUCCUCCUCAAGAGAAAAAGCAUUUUUAUUUAGUUCAACCAAGACAAGGAAAAAAAUUAUAUUUUGACCCCCAGAGUCUUAUACGUGUGGAGGUCAUUGGUUCUUUAAUAGCUGUAGAAAGGACCCAGAGGGACUAGCUGCUGCGACUUAACUUCGUGAGAGUCCUCAGUUUGCUGGAGCUUCUGACCGGCUGAUCUUUGCCUGUCAACCUUUUGGUUUUACAGACAUGGCAGGCAGGCAGGUUUUAUAGACAUGGACAAGAAGUCUGCACACAGAAGUUCUGAGGAUGCCAGGACCGGCAAAAGUGGAGGUAAGAAUCUUACUUGCUUUAAGAACUUUUGAGUAACUUAAUGUACGUUUCAUAAACCAUUUUGUUUCUCUCUCACUUGUGGCUAAUAUUUGAGAGAAUAAUCGUGUUGCGCUUUGUAUCAAUCUAAGGUAAACACAAACAAAAGAAAAGAGAAAAGCAAAACCAAGAACACCACCGAUCCCGACAUAGGUCAACAUCUCAUUCUUCAGAUGACUGUGUGUUUCCUUCUUCUGUAUCAUCUUCAGGAAGCCACACGGAUUCAAGUCUAGAAGGUAUGUUUAUCACCCUGUUAAGCUUUUUCAUUUAUAAGUUAAAUGAUGUAGAAAAAAAAUUCAUUAAAACUGCAUCGUAAGAGUGAGAAUACCCACGAUGUGCCGGGCGUAAUGGUGAACACGCGUAGUCCUUUCAGCGAAGGAACUUUCAGGAUAUGGACAAUGAAGAUAAAUAGUCCAUUACAAUGCAGAUGAGUGCUGAAGCUUGAGAUGCACAUGUUGAGACAAGGAGAGCCUAUAGAGAGGAAAUCUUAUCCGAAUUGAGAAUUGGAGGAUGGGUAGACAUUUUCUAGAAUGCCGAGAAAGUGGAAUUCAGGACAGUUAAUUGCAAGCUGAAGGAAUUGCAAGUGCUAACCACUGUUUCUGAUUCUUUCUCAAGUAAUAUGCCUUGCACAUCCAUUUCUUGAUUUAUCAGUGAACGAAGCAGGGUUCUUGGUUGUAAGCAAAGAAAACUGGCUCUGGCUGAUUUAAAUGGAAAAAUAAUUUAUUGAAAAGAUAUUGAGUAACUCACAGAAUUGCUAAGAAGCCUAGAGAACUAAUCUCUGAACGUGGGUGGGAACAAAGUGAAACUUGGCCACUAGAACUGCAGGCAAAGUCACACCCCUGUCAGGGCACACUGCCACCACUGCUGCUUCUGAACCUGGAUGCCUCGACCUGCAUUGCUCUGGGCACUAAAUAUUGUUACGGUAGAAUGGAUGCUUCGCCAUCUCUGCAUCUUGGUGUCACUAGCUCCUAGGCAGUAUUGACAGAGCCUAGAUCACAAGUCUAUGUCCUGACUGCAUAGGAAACUGGAAAAGCGAGUAUCAGCCUUUUCCUCAUUGAUGGUAGGAGGUAUGUCACCAGACAUAGGAGGGAAAAUCAGAUGCUGGACAAUCAAAAUAAAAUAAAUGUUCUCCACAUUCAUUAGCUCACAAAUUACUCUUUUUUCUUACCUGCCUUUCUCUACUCAGUGGUGAUUAGUUGAAUUAUCAUAAGUUUUUAUAGUUAAUUUGUAAUAAUAAAUUUAUACCUGUAAUUCUACUUGUUGUUUAAUCAACAAAAAGUAGGGUUUUUUUUUUAUUUUUUUGUUUCAUCAACAAAAAGUAGGUCCAUUAUUUUGCUCUCUUUAGUAUAGGUGCCCCUACCCUUUCCUCCGUCCUUUCUCCCCGUCGUCUCUUUUUAAAAAACCAUUUUUGGUAGUUAACAUUUUUAAUCUGAUCUAUAACCAAAACUCUUGUAUUUUUUUCGCCAUAGAUUCCCUUUAAAUGUUCAAAGCUAAUGGUCAGCAUUUAAGUUAUUAUCACCAUAUUACCAUGCAAAUAUCGUUAUUGCAGCACCACGUCAUGUGCUAGGAUUGCAUUUCCCUUUCGUGAAUCUCGUGACCUGAUCACCAUUUCUAGAGCAUAGCGACAUCAGCAGGCACUCUUAUAGUCCAUCUUUUGCCUCCUAGCAUGCCAUGUCUUAGUAUUGCUUCAUAUGUGCACCAUGACUCUGUACAGUUUUUAUUUUCCUUAGACUUUUUAGUUCUAUAAUUUUUUUUUUUAUUGACAGAAAGGUAAUGUGACUUCACCGUGAUAAGAAGAUUUUCUAUCCUUUCCAUCAUACUGUUCCAUGGAGAUCAUUUUUUUCCCCUGAGAUGUUCUUGCCUGCCUGUUGUAAAUGGGCUACUUUGUACCCUCAAAGCCUGACGGAUAGCCAUCAUCCUAGAAUUUAGCCAUCAUCCUAGAAUUUCUUCUCACUGGUCUUCCAGGUUGGAAACAUUGUUUAUUCAGUCCAUGCUUUCUUCCCUCUCUUUGUUUUCUCCCUUAACAAUUAGUGUAUGUUGUCAUAUAACUUUUCCAAAAUAUAUGUCUGGAAGGUAAAUUUUCAGAGUCUGCGUAUCUCAAAAAGUCAUUAUUCUGCUGUCCACACUCGUUUGAAAACAAUUUCCCCUAAUUCCAGUUUCCAGAGGCGGUAACUUCAUAUUCUUUUCGCAGUAUGUUUUGAUCUCUGUCUCCAAAUCUCUAAAUAACUUCUAAAGACCCAGUUCACUUUUCAGUUUUAGGUUCUAUGGAAAAUAAAAAUUUAGCUACUUCGUUUUUUCACCACCCCCCUCAUCAUUCACUUCCUUCUUCUCAUCCUUCUAAAUAGGACUUCAUUGUCCUAACGGACUGUUUCACUCUUCAAUUAUUUCAUUAUUGUGACUUUUCAGAUUCUCUUCACAACUGCACCAUAUUCUGCGGUUUCCUUUCUAGCACGACUUUUUUGGGUUUUCUGUCACUUAAUUAUUAUCUUUUUAAAAAUGUGUUUCAUUUUGUGUUUGUGACAUGUAGUAGUAAGUCUGUUGUACUCUGUUAAUUUCAUGUGGAAGCUCCUCUCCUGGACGCCUUUAACGUGCUCCAUCUGGAAAUGCUGCGCUCAAGGCAUGGGAGCAGCUGUAACGUUAGAAUUUUCUUACCUCUUCACUCUGGGGGCUCCUUCUCCUCUCUUUUCAGUUUGGUCACCUGUUUUCUGGGUCCUGCGAGUUUCUCUUCCUUUGUUUUCCCCUUUAUUUUAUUGGAGAACCUCUCCUAGUAACAUAAGAAAAAGAUGGGACAUUUAAUUCCUAUUCUGUUUGUAGUUGUGGGUUUAUGCCAGUAAAUAAAUUUCCUCUAUUGCUUCUGCUUCUAUUGAAAUGAGUGGUAACAGCAAACCAGUGCUUCCACCAUAAACUAGAUAAAAUGCAGAGAAGUAUCUAGUUAAAGGGGUGGAGAGCUGCUAAGGCAAUGAGAACUAGAGGCAUUGAGAUUCUAAAGAGGAGAGAACUAUGGAGGGGUGAAAUAAUACAAAAAUUAGAGUUUGGGACUCAGUGGAGCCUGGAGAAUACAACAGGCCCUCUGUUGAAAACCCAGGAGGGCAGGGAUGCAUCAGAGGUAAACUGAGCCUUACCAGGACUGUAAUAAAAUCACGUCAGCACAGCCCCUGACUGGGCUUAGAUCAUCUAUCAUUCUCUUUGCUUAGUGGAAGAAGGAGGAAGAUAGCAUCAUCUAGAGCUUCUAGAAUUUUGUAACAUGAAACACCUUUCUUUCUUUCUUUCUUUUGCCUGCACCUGCGGCAUACAGAAGUUCCUGGGCAGGGAUUGAACCUACACCACCACAGCGACCUGAAGCCACAGCAGUGACAACGCCAUAUCCUUAACCCACUGAGCCACCAGGAAACUCCAGAAAAAUGACUAGACAUUCCAACAUGACUUAAGAACAAGAUUAGUGCUAUGGGUAAUCCAGAUAUUUGAGUUCGCUGACAUGAAUUUCACAUAAUUAUUAUUAAUAUGUUCAAGAAAGUAGACAUUUGUAAGCCAUAAAAAUAACCAAAUGGAAAUUUUGGAAUAACAAGUGCAUUAACUAAAAUUAACAAUUUAGGGAGUUCUAGUUGUGGUGCAGCAGAAACGAAUCUGACUGGUAUCCAUGGGGGGACAUGGGUUCCAUCCCUGGCCUCGCUCAGUGGGUCGGGGAUCCACCGUUGCCCUGAGCUGUGAUGUAAGUCAUACACGUGGCUCAGAUCCCGUGUUGCUGUGGUUCCCAUUAGACCCCUAGCCUGGGAACUUCCAUAUGCCUUGGCUGUAGCCCCAAAAGCAAAUAGAUAAAUAAAUAAAUAAAUAAAAUUAACAAUUUAGAUAGAUUUGCCAGCAGAUUAAACACAACAAAGACAGAAUAGCAACCUGGAAGUCAAGUCAAGAGAAAGAAAAAAGAACAGAAGAUACAGAAGAGGGCAUCAGAAACACAUGAGGCCGAGUGAGGAGGUCUGACAUAGGUGGAAGAAAGAGAGCAGAGUGAGGAAAAAGAAAUAUUUGAAGAGAAUAAUGGCCAGAUGUUUUCCAAAACAGAUAAAAACACAUCAACUACAGAUUCAAGAAACUUUAAAACCCCAAACUUGGAUAAUGCCAAAAAAAAAAAAAAA